UACGUAGGGGGCUAGCGUUAUCCGGAUUCACUGGGUGUAAAGGGAGCGUAGACGGCGACGCAAGUCUGGAGUGAAAGCCCGGGGCCCAACCCCGGGACUGCUCUGGAAACUGCGGCGCUGGAGUACGGGAGGGGCAGGCGGAAUUCCUGGUGUAGCGGUGAAAUGCGUAGAUAUCAGGAGGAACACCGGCGGCGAAGGCGGCCUGCUGGACCGUGACUGACGUUGAGGCUCGAGAGCGUGGGGAGCAAACAGG
RNAcentral lists this ribosomal RNA (253 nucleotides) under uncultured bacterium. RNAcentral's name for it is "partial 16S ribosomal RNA". It matches the Rfam family "Bacterial small subunit ribosomal RNA", at positions 524 to 776 of the family's 1533-position model. The record is from RNAcentral.